This 3110-nucleotide long non-coding RNA is filed under the name Sus scrofa (pig). RNAcentral's name for it is "lncRNA (ENSSSCG00025000700.1)". Lineage: Eukaryota; Metazoa; Chordata; Mammalia; Artiodactyla; Suidae. The record is from RNAcentral.
GUGGCAUUUCAAGUGAGACCUGGACGAUGCGAAGCAGCCAGCUCUGACAAUGCUGAGGUCAGAACAUUCUGGACAGAGAGCACAGCGAGUCCGAAGAGCCUGAGGCCAGAAAACCCAGAAAACAGUGUUGCUCAAGUCACUGGCGAGAGGGAGGUAGGCUGGAGCAUCUUGUCGGCUCAGGAAGGAGUUUGGAAGACGUGAGUGCGCUGGGUCCUGAGCAGGGGAGCAAAACCAUCAGAUGUACUGCUUUCAAAAGAUCACUCUGGGGCUGAGGGUCAGGGGGGGAUGAGAGCUUCGAGACCCACCGACGGCUCUGGGCAACUAGGCAGUAGGUGGCAGUGGUUUGGGCCAGCGGGUGACAGUGGCAAUGGAGAAAUCCAAAAAACCUUCUUUGGAGACAAAGCAGAUGGGACUUUCUGGUGGCUCUGAUUUGGACAGUGAACAAUUUGGUGCCUAUAAGCCUGUUCUUGAGAGGGGCGUGGCCGUGGGUGAGGGGCGUUAGGGGUUCUGGUUUUCCAGGUGAAGCUGGGGCUAUUCACGAGCCUGCUGUGAGUCUUCAUGGAAGGAAGACAAGGAAGCAGCUUGUAGAAGAAACAGAGACCUCCAGAGGCCUGGCAGCAGAGCCACCGGACACCUGGCUUCCCUGUGGAGAGCACGAUCGGUCAGGUGUGCGGCUCUGGCGAGUCCUUCUCAAGGCCCAGACCGGACAGCUGUUCCCAGCCUUCUUCAGGCCCAAGCCCUCUAGGAAUCUGAUGAGACGUGCCUGUUCCAUAGGGAAGCGCACACCUACAGAUCUUCUCUGCAUCCGUUUGGGGGUCUUAGAACCCCUGAAACCCAUCCAUGGACUCCCAGCCAAUGGGCCCCCAGGUCGGUUAGCUGAACUAGGAGGGCCUACAAUGGACUCACCUAGGGGAAAGGUGUUAAGAGAAUUCACGUUGACCAGAGGCCUGGAACGCAUGCGUGAUGGACACAUGUCAUCACUGACUGCCCAGCAUUUGACCUACCUUCCAAGGAUGAGAUACUUUCUACUUUCAAGGCGUCGGGGAUUUGAUAUGAUAUCUUGCAGUUUGGAAAUCUAUGGACAAAUGGGUAAGUACAUAAAACAUUACAAUAAUAGACAGUGUUCUUGAGCAUUGAAUACUGUUCAGCCAUGAAAAUGGAAAAGAAAUCACAGACUCAAUGCUGGCUUAAUCUUUAAAAAAAAAAAAAAAAGGGCUCUUGUAUUUAUUUAUUUAUUUUUAAAUGUUAGGUUGAUUUAUAAGAGCAGCUCCAGGCAGUUAACACAGUUUGUGUACAAUGAGGAGCUAUCUAACUCUGAACACACCGAAUGCGGCAACCAGAAGUCUGGCAAUUAAAAGUCGUCGCAGUUAAGAGAAAACCACAGCCCACCUGCCGCAGCCAACACAAAAACAGGCAGAAACAGCAGUGAAAAUAUAGGGACCAACGAUGGGGGUUUUAGCAUAAAAGGAAAAAAAAAAAAACCAACUUCUCAGGAAUUUUAGCAAAGGAAGGGAGUACUUCUCGCUCAAAGAGAAUAGACUCCAGGAUACAAAAUUACAAGUGUGUGGCCUCUCUUCAAGACCCACUUCCCCCAAGAGCAGAGAGGAAGGAGACGGCUGGAGCAAACAAGCCAUUCUGGAAAACAAAGACUUAGAAACCCUACAAAUAUGAUUAAAAUCUAAACUUCUGUUUUGCUUUAAAAACAUUUUUUUGAAUAUAUCAAAAGACCUGCCUUAGGGACAUACUGGUGCCACCGGAAAAUAACCCCAAUACCCCCUCGUCAGUAACAUGCUCAAGUGACCAGCCAACUCAGAUUUCCAAACCCCUGUGUAUAUAAGUACAUGUGUAUCUUUUUAAACCAAAGCCCCAGGGAUCAGGGGACAGCUCUUGCUGUCACCUGUUAACCAGCCAGUGUUGCCCCCCUCCCCCCCAAGAAGGGUGGGCUGAGCACAGAAAAGCCCUGAAGCGGUCGUGAGGGAAGAACAGCCCCAAAUAGCUAACUUUUCAUGCACCCCACCGCCACCCCACUUGGAAGGACAUCCUUUUUUAUUUUUUUUAUGGCCACACCCAUGGCAUAUGGAAGUUCCCCGGGCUGGGACUGAAUCCCAAGCCACAGUUGCAGCAACUCUAGAUCCUUUAACCCCCCUGCACCUGGGUGGGGAUUGAACCUGCACCUCCAUAGCGGUGCAAGCCGCUGCAGUGAGAUUCUUCACCCACUGCGCCACAGUGGGAACUCCAGAAGGUCCUUCUUUCUGCUCAGACUACCUUCUCAGAUUUGGCUACCAGGGACCAGAAUGGUUUUUUCUCUCUUGGGGUAAAAAAAAAAAACCAAAAAAAAAAAAAACCCACAUUUAUCUGCAUACCCAUAUAUAUAAUUUUUUUGUUUUUACAUUUAAAUAUAAAAAUAUUACUCUUCUUUGUGUUAUAAAUGGAGGACCAAACAGAACUUGUUCUUUUAACGUAGGGUUAGCCAUCCAUUGCCACUGAACUUAUCAGGGCAUUUAGCCCCAGGCAAGGGAAGUACCACCCCAAAUCUAGGGCAUUUUCCUGCCUCAUUUCCCACCCUUCCUUCUCCCCUAAUUCUCACCCUUAAUAGAAAGUUGGUUCUAACCCUCUAAGCAAUGAAAUUUCCACCAACCAAGAAGGGGACUUCUAAUCCAACCAGAGUCAGGUCCUCUGACCCCCCACUCAACUACCACUCAGAGAAAGUCUGCCCCUUCCCUGCACAAAAACUAUGUUCUCUGUCUGGAUAGCUGUGUCUACUGGACAAACACACCCGAUGAAAUGGAAGCAGGAAAACCCUUUUAUUUUGAAAUAUUUUUGGAGGUUCAGAAAAUUUGUAAAUAUACUACAAAAAAUGUCCAUAUAUACUUCACCCAGCUCCGUCUAUUCGUCUCAUCUUACCCCUGGCAUAUUUAUCAAAUCUAAGAAAUUGGAUUUCCACAGUAGCUGGGCAGGUUAAGGAUCCAGUGUUGUCACUGCAGUGGCUUUGGUUACCCUCGUGGCACAGAUUCAAUCCCUAGCCUGGGACUUCUGAACAGGUGCACCCAAAAGAAACCCAAAACAAAAACAAAAAUAAAGACAAAAAAAAAAAAACCCUAAGAAAUUAU